CAAAUCACAAAACUAACUCUGGCGGCGUGCCUAAUACAUGCAAGUAGAACGCUGAAGGAGGAGCUUGCUUCUCCGGAUGAGUUGCGAACGGGUGAGUAACGCGUAGGUAACCUACCUGGUAGCGGGGGAUAACUAUUGGAAACGAUAGCUAAUACCGCAUAAAAUUGAUUAUUGCAUGAUAGUCAAUUAAAAGGUGCAAUUGCAUCACUACCAGAUGGACCUGCGUUGUAUUAGCUAGUUGGUGGGGUAACGGCUCACCAAGGCAACGAUACAUAGCCGACCUGAGAGGGUGAUCGGCCACACUGGGACUGAGACACGGCCCAGACUCCUACGG
Molecule: ribosomal RNA, 334 nt
Filed under: uncultured bacterium
Lineage: Bacteria
Description: bacterial SSU rRNA
Rfam family: Bacterial small subunit ribosomal RNA
Source: RNAcentral